Entelurus aequoreus (snake pipefish) is the source of this 660-nucleotide long non-coding RNA. RefSeq lists it as uncharacterized. The record is from RefSeq and is a predicted model, not a curated record. The transcript is spliced from 5 exons. NCBI's taxonomy places the organism in Eukaryota, Metazoa, Chordata, Actinopteri, Syngnathiformes, Syngnathidae.
UGAUUCGCAUACGCGGACGCGACAAACCAAACCGGCGCGCGCCGCCUAGAGUUAUAGGCUCCGCCUACGCGCGCUGAGCCGACCAAUGUCUGCACCCGCAGACGUGGACGCGCCUACUAGCGUGUACGCGCAUGAGCCAAGAUCUCUGGACUUUCUUUGCUGGAACACGAACGUAAGUAUAGAUUUAUUGAUUUAUUGCUACAUUCGCAGUAAAGAUCAGCCUUUGUGUUUCCAUCAUCGUUUAUGUAUGAUUGUAAUGACGUUGUUUGAUAUUAGGACUAGCAGUAAAACUUUAUAUUCUGUAAAAAAAGGCUUUAUUUCCAGCGCCGCCUCCCAGAAUGCUUUGCAUGGGGACGUGCGUCUGACGUCACGUAUACAGAAAAUUCGAAAUGGCUGCACGCGAAUGUGAAAGUUUCCCGCGUGAAGCCGUGGAGCUCGAGAUCCUGUUUACUGUGGACUAGCUGUGUGUGACGCCAUGUUGUUUUUGUUUCCAUUACAAAAAAAAAGCUCCACCGUCUCGCCGAGUGCCAGCAAGAGUCAUGAGUACUUGUCAACUCGACUCCUCAACUGGAGAUAACUUUCUAGCACCUCACCAUGGGGAAGGAUGUAUUCAUAUGCCUUCACCAGCACAUGCAUUUAACAUGCAGAGAGUUACACAAG